Molecule: microRNA precursor, 193 nt
Filed under: Oryza brachyantha (malo sina)
Lineage: Eukaryota; Viridiplantae; Streptophyta; Magnoliopsida; Poales; Poaceae
Description: MIR812 microRNA precursor family
Rfam family: MIR812 microRNA precursor family
Source: Rfam by way of RNAcentral
AAUAACCUCAUUUUUCGUUUUUCCAUAUCCAAUAUUUAAUCAUUCGUCUUAUUUGAAAACUUUUUGCGAUUAAUAUUUUUAUUCUUACUAGAUGAUAAAAUAUAAAUAGUAUUUUAUGCGUGAUUAAUUUUUUUAAAUUUUUGUAUAAAUUUUUUAAAUAAGACGAAUGGUCAAACGUUGGAUACAGAAAAAC